GAUGAACGCUGGCGGCGUGCCUAAUACAUGCAAGUCGAGCGAACGGACGAGAAGCUUGCUUCUCUGAUGUUAGCGGCGGACGGGUGAGUAACACGUGGAUAACCUACCUAUAAGACUGGGAUAACUUCGGGAAACCGGAGCUAAUACCGGAUGAUAUUUUGAACCGCAUGGUUCAAAAGUGAAAGACGGUCUUGCUGUCACUUAUAGAUGGAUCCGCGCUGCAUUAGCUAGUUGGUAAGGUAACGGCUUACCAAGGCAACGAUGCAUAGCCGACCUGAGAGACUGAUAGGCCACACGAGAAGGGGGACGCGCUCCAGACGACUGCGGGACGCAGCAGUCGCGAAUCGUACGCAAUAGGCGAGAGCAUGACGGAGCAACGCCGCGUGAGUGAUGAAAGUCUUCGGAUCGUAAAGCUCUGUUAUGAGGGAAGAACAUAUGUGUACGUAACUGAGCAGAUCGUGACGGUACCUAAUCAGAAAGCAACGGCUAACUACGUG
RNAcentral lists this ribosomal RNA (497 nucleotides) under uncultured bacterium. Its description in RNAcentral is "partial 16S ribosomal RNA". It matches the Rfam family "Bacterial small subunit ribosomal RNA", at positions 28 to 507 of the family's 1533-position model. The record is from RNAcentral.